AUCUUCUUUGAAGGUAUGCUUAAGGAGGGGCUUGCGACACAUUAGUUAGUUGGCAGGGUAAAGGCCUACCAAGACUAUGAUGUGUAGCUGGACUGAGAGGUUGAACAGCCACAUUGGGACUGAGACACGGCCCAAACUCCUACGGGAGGCAGCAGUAGGGAAUUUUCGGCAAUGGAGGAAACUCUGACCGAGCAACGCCGCGUGAACGAUGAAGUACCUCGGUAUGUAAAGUUCUUUUAUUAAGGAAGAAAAAAGAGUGGAAAAACUCCCUUGACGGUACUUAAUGAAUAAGCCCCGGCUAAUUAUGUGCCAGCAGCCGCGGUAAUACAUAAGGGGCGAGCGUUAUCCGGAAUUAUUGGGCGUAAAGGGUGCGUAGGCGGUUUAAUAAGUCUAUAGUUUAAUUUCAGUGCUUAACGCUGUUGUGCUAUAGAAACUGUUUUACUAGAGUGAGAUAGAGGCAAGCGGAAUUCCAUGUGUAGCGGUAAAAUGCGUAAAUAUAUGGAGGAACACCAGAGGCGUAGGCGGCUUGCUGGGUCUUUACUGACGCUGAGGCACGAAAGCGUGGGGAGCAAACAGGAUUAGAUACCCUGGUAGUCCACGCCGUAAACGAUGAGUACUAAGUGUCGGGUAAAACUGGUACUGAAGUUAACACAUUAAGUACUCCGCCUGAGUAGUACGUACGCAAGUAUGAAACUUAAAGGAAUUGACGGGACUCCGCACAAGCGGUGGAUCAUGUUGUUUAAUUCGAAGAUACACGAAAAACCUUACCAGGUCUUGACAUUUUCUUGCGAAGUUAUAGAAAUAUAAUGGAGGUUAUC
Molecule: ribosomal RNA, 818 nt
Filed under: Candidatus Phytoplasma pruni
Lineage: Bacteria; Bacillati; Mycoplasmatota; Mollicutes; Acholeplasmatales; Acholeplasmataceae
Description: bacterial SSU rRNA
Rfam family: Bacterial small subunit ribosomal RNA
Source: RNAcentral